Small nucleolar RNA from Prosopis cineraria, 72 nucleotides. RefSeq annotates it as small nucleolar RNA snoR60. NCBI's taxonomy places the organism in Eukaryota, Viridiplantae, Streptophyta, Magnoliopsida, Fabales, Fabaceae. The transcript has a single exon. The record is from RefSeq and is a predicted model, not a curated record.
GUGCAUAUGAUGAGCUAACUCGGAUUCCCCUUCAAGACAUCAUGGAUGAUGCAGACCCGAGUUUCUGAUGCA